GCCAGGUGUGGUGGCUCACGCCUGUAAUCCCAGCACUUUGGGAGGCCGAGGCGGGUGGAUCACCUGAGGCCAGGAGUUCAAGACCAGCCUGGCCAACAUGGUGAAACUCCGUCUCUA
This 117-nucleotide non-coding RNA is filed under the name Pan paniscus (pygmy chimpanzee). The record is from Rfam by way of RNAcentral. RNAcentral also lists the same sequence under 1 other name. Lineage: Eukaryota; Metazoa; Chordata; Mammalia; Primates; Hominidae.